This 541-nucleotide ribosomal RNA is filed under the name Alternaria infectoria. RNAcentral's name for it is "eukaryotic LSU rRNA". The stretch from base 205 to 358 matches the Rfam family "5.8S ribosomal RNA". The record is from RNAcentral. Lineage: Eukaryota; Fungi; Ascomycota; Dothideomycetes; Pleosporales; Pleosporaceae.
GAUCAUUACACAAUAACAAGGCGGGCUGGACACCCUCCAGCCGGGCACUGCUUCACGGCGUGCGCGGCUGGAGCCGGCCCUGCUGAAUUAUUCACCCGUGUCUUUUGCGUACUUCUUGUUUCCUGGGUGGGCUCGCCCGCCAUCAGGACCAACCAUAAACCUUUUGCAAUAGCAAUCAGCGUCAGUAACAACGUAAUUAAUUACAACUUUCAACAACGGAUCUCUUGGUUCUGGCAUCGAUGAAGAACGCAGCGAAAUGCGAUACGUAGUGUGAAUUGCAGAAUUCAGUGAAUCAUCGAAUCUUUGAACGCACAUUGCGCCCUUUGGUAUUCCAAAGGGCAUGCCUGUUCGAGCGUCAUUUGUACCCUCAAGCUUUGCUUGGUGUUGGGCGUCUUUUGUCUCCAGCUCGCUGGAGACUCGCCUUAAAGUCAUUGGCAGCCGGCCUACUGGUUUCGGAGCGCAGCACAAGUCGCGCUCUUUGCCAGCCAAGGUCAGCGUCCAGCAAGCCUUUUUUCAACCUUUGACCUCGGAUCAGGUAGGG